CCUACGGGAGGCAGCAGUGAGGAAUAUUGGUCAAUGGGCGGGAGCCUGAACCAGCCAAGCCGCGUGAAGGAAGAAGGCGCCAAGCGUCGUAAACUUCUUUUGUCGGGGAACAAAGGGCGCCACGUGUGGCGUUGUGAGUGUACCCGAAGAAAAAGCAUCGGCUAACUCCGUGCCAGCAGCCGCGGUAAUACGGAGGAUGCGAGCGUUAUCCGGAUUUAUUGGGUUUAAAGGGUGCGUAGGCGGGCAUUUAAGCCGGCGGUCAAAUGUCGGGGCUCAACCCCGGCCUGC
Molecule: ribosomal RNA, 288 nt
Filed under: uncultured bacterium
Lineage: Bacteria
Description: partial 16S ribosomal RNA
Rfam family: Bacterial small subunit ribosomal RNA
Source: RNAcentral